RNAcentral lists this ribosomal RNA (1372 nucleotides) under uncultured bacterium. RNAcentral describes it as "bacterial SSU rRNA". It matches the Rfam family "Bacterial small subunit ribosomal RNA", at positions 28 to 1381 of the family's 1533-position model. The record is from RNAcentral.
GAUGAACGCUGGCGGCGUGCCUAAUACAUGCAAGUCGAGCGAACGGACGAGAAGCUUGCUUCUCUGAUGUUAGCGGCGGACGGGUGAGUAACACGUGGAUAACCUACCUAUAAGACUGGGAUAACUUCGGGAAACCGGAGCUAAUACCGGAUAAUAUUUUGAACCGCAUGGUUCAAAAGUGAAAGACGGUCUUGCUGUCACUUAUAGAUGGAUCCGCGCUGCAUUAGCUAGUUGGUAAGGUAACGGCUUACCAAGGCAACGAUGCAUAGCCGACCUGAGAGGGUGAUCGGCCACACUGGAACUGAGACACGGUCCAGACUCCUACGGGAGGCAGCAGUAGGGAAUCUUCCGCAAUGGGCGAAAGCCUGACGGAGCAACGCCGCGUGAGUGAUGAAGGUCUUCGGAUCGUAAAACUCUGUUAUUAGGGAAGAACAUAUGUGUAAGUAACUGUGCACAUCUUGACGGUACCUAAUCAGAAAGCCACGGCUAACUACGUGCCAGCAGCCGCGGUAAUACGUAGGUGGCAAGCGUUAUCCGGAAUUAUUGGGCGUAAAGCGCGCGUAGGCGGUUUUUUAAGUCUGAUGUGAAAGCCCACGGCUCAACCGUGGAGGGUCAUUGGAAACUGGAAAACUUGAGUGCAGAAGAGGAAAGUGGAAUUCCAUGUGUAGCGGUGAAAUGCGCAGAGAUAUGGAGGAACACCAGUGGCGAAGGCGACUUUCUGGUCUGUAACUGACGCUGAUGUGCGAAAGCGUGGGGAUCAAACAGGAUUAGAUACCCUGGUAGUCCACGCCGUAAACGAUGAGUGCUAAGUGUUAGGGGGUUUCCGCCCCUUAGUGCUGCAGCUAACGCAUUAAGCACUCCGCCUGGGGAGUACGACCGCAAGGUUGAAACUCAAAGGAAUUGACGGGGACCCGCACAAGCGGUGGAGCAUGUGGUUUAAUUCGAAGCAACGCGAAGAACCUUACCAAAUCUUGACAUCCUUUGACAACUCUAGAGAUAGAGCCUUCCCCUUCGGGGGACAAAGUGACAGGUGGUGCAUGGUUGUCGUCAGCUCGUGUCGUGAGAUGUUGGGUUAAGUCCCGCAACGAGCGCAACCCUUAAGCUUAGUUGCCAUCAUUAAGUUGGGCACUCUAAGUUGACUGCCGGUGACAAACCGGAGGAAGGUGGGGAUGACGUCAAAUCAUCAUGCCCCUUAUGAUUUGGGCUACACACGUGCUACAAUGGACAAUACAAAGGGCAGCGAAACCGCGAGGUCAAGCAAAUCCCAUAAAGUUGUUCUCAGUUCGGAUUGUAGUCUGCAACUCGACUACAUGAAGCUGGAAUCGCUAGUAAUCGUAGAUCAGCAUGCUACGGUGAAUACAUUCCCGGGUCU